AAACAGCCCCCUAUGUUUUGAUUCUUUGGCAUUUUUGGACCCCAAGACAAAAAUAAAAUAAAAAAAUUGACACGUGGCAUUUCACUUAGGGUGCCACCCACGUCAGCGUUGACCGGGUCAACAAUGGACUAGGGGUCCAAAACUGCCAAAGAAUCAAAACAUCGGGGGCUGUUU
This 174-nucleotide microRNA precursor is filed under the name Medicago truncatula (barrel medic). RNAcentral's name for it is "MIR2619 microRNA precursor family". It matches the Rfam family "MIR2619 microRNA precursor family". Lineage: Eukaryota; Viridiplantae; Streptophyta; Magnoliopsida; Fabales; Fabaceae. The record is from Rfam by way of RNAcentral.